This 34-nucleotide ribosomal RNA is filed under the name Aspergillus terreus. Its description in RNAcentral is "partial 28S ribosomal RNA". The record is from RNAcentral. RNAcentral also lists the same sequence under 8 other names. Lineage: Eukaryota; Fungi; Ascomycota; Eurotiomycetes; Eurotiales; Aspergillaceae.
CCUCGGAUCAGGUAGGGAUACCCGCUGAACUUAA